This 464-nucleotide ribosomal RNA is filed under the name uncultured bacterium. RNAcentral describes it as "partial 16S ribosomal RNA". It matches the Rfam family "Bacterial small subunit ribosomal RNA", at positions 339 to 795 of the family's 1533-position model. The record is from RNAcentral.
CUACGGGAGGCACCAGUGGGGAAUCUUCCGCAAUGGGCGCAAGCCUGACGGAGCAACGCCGCGUGAGUGAAGAAGGCCUUCGGGUCGUAAAGCUCUGUCUUUAGGGAAGAAAAACUAUGGUGAAAAUAUUGCCAUAGUCUGACGGUACCUGAGGAGGAAGCUCCGGCUAACUACGUGCCAGCAGCCGCGGUAAUACGUAGGGAGCGAGUGUUGUCCGGAAUUACUGGGCGUAAAGGGCGUGUAGGCGGGAAUUUAAGUAAGGUGUGAAAACUCCGGGCUCAACUUGGAGACUGCACUUUAACUGGAUUUCUUGAGGGCAGGAGAGGAAAGUGGAAUUCCUAGUGUAGCGGUGAAAUGCGUAGAUAUUAGGAGGAACAUCAGUGGCGAAGGCGACUUUCUGGACUGCACCUGACGCUGAGGCGCGAAAGCAUGGGUAGCGAACAGGAUUAGAUACCCCCGUAGUC